RNAcentral lists this non-coding RNA (48 nucleotides) under unclassified sequences. RNAcentral's name for it is "ssnA RNA". It matches the Rfam family "ssnA RNA". The record is from RNAcentral.
UAUACGUCGGCUGCAAGGAAGUGCCUCGCGCACGGGUCGGACACUCUC